RNAcentral lists this ribosomal RNA (582 nucleotides) under alpha proteobacterium EB73. RNAcentral's name for it is "bacterial SSU rRNA". It matches the Rfam family "Bacterial small subunit ribosomal RNA", at positions 16 to 648 of the family's 1533-position model. The record is from RNAcentral. Lineage: Bacteria; Pseudomonadati; Pseudomonadota; Alphaproteobacteria.
AUCCUGGCUCAGAGCGAACGCUGGCGGCUCGCUUAACACAUGCAAGUCGAGCGCCCCGCAAGGGGAGCGGCGGACGGGUGAGUAACACUUGGGAACGUGCCCUUUGGUUCGGGAUAACUGCGGGAAACUGCAGCUAACACCGGAUACGCCCUAAUGGGGAAAGGUUACGCCGAAGGAGCGGCCCGCGUCUGAUUAGCUUGUUGGUGAGGUAACGGCUCACCAAGGCUACGAUCAGUAGCUGGUCUGAGAGGAUGAUCAGCCACACUGGGACUGAGACACGGCCCAGACUCCUACGGGAGGCAGCAGUGGGGAAUAUUGGACAAUGGGCGCAAGCCUGAUCCAGCCAUGCCGCGUGAGUGAUGAAGGCCUUAGGGUUGUAAAGCUCUUUUGUCCGGGAAGAUAAUGACUGUACCGGAAGAAUAAGCCCCGGCUAACUUCGUGCCAGCAGCCGCGGUAAUACGAAGGGGGCUAGCGUUGUUCGGAAUCACUGGGCGUAAAGCGCACGUAGGCGGACCAUUAAGUCAGGGGUGAAAGCCUGGAGCUCAACUCCAGAACUGCCUUUGAUACUGAUGGUCUCGAGUU